UAACACGUAGGUAAUUUUCCUUCCAGCGGGGGACAACGUUUCGAAAGGAACGCUAAUACCGCGUACGUUUCCCGGGACUCCGGUCCUGGGAAGGAAAGCUAGGUAGCAAUAUCCGGCACUGGAUGAGAAGCCUGCGUAGCAUCAGCUAGUUGGUGGGGUAACGGCCUACCAAGGCGAAGACGCUUAGCUGGUCUGAGAGGAUGAUCAGCCACACUGAAACUGAGACACGGUUCAG
RNAcentral lists this ribosomal RNA (235 nucleotides) under uncultured bacterium. RNAcentral's name for it is "partial 16S ribosomal RNA". It matches the Rfam family "Bacterial small subunit ribosomal RNA", at positions 111 to 334 of the family's 1533-position model. The record is from RNAcentral.